Molecule: unclassified non-coding RNA, 194 nt
Filed under: soil metagenome
Description: partial contains 5.8S ribosomal RNA, internal transcribed spacer 2, and large subunit ribosomal RNA
Source: RNAcentral
AACGCACGAGACCUGCGGACCUGCGGAAGGAUCAUUCACAAUAAGUGUUUUAUGGCACUUUAAUUCCAUAUCCACCUUGUGUGCAACGUAGUUCGUUUUUCGAACAAAACAUCAACAUUUUAAUUAUCAACAGAUCGUCUGAAGUAUUAUAUGAAUAAAUCAAUUCAAAAUACAACUUUCAGCAACGGAUCUCU